This 445-nucleotide RNase P RNA is filed under the name Lachnospiraceae bacterium. Its description in RNAcentral is "RNase P RNA component class A". It matches the Rfam family "Bacterial RNase P class A". Rfam says of the family: Ribonuclease P (RNase P) is a ubiquitous endoribonuclease, found in archaea, bacteria and eukarya as well as chloroplasts and mitochondria. Its best characterised activity is the generation of mature 5'-ends of tRNAs by cleaving the 5'-leader elements of precursor-tRNAs. Lineage: Bacteria; Bacillati; Bacillota; Clostridia; Lachnospirales; Lachnospiraceae. The record is from RNAcentral.
CAAGUAAGACAAAUGAUCGCGGCUGCAAGUGUCGAAAGACCGCAGGUGAGGAAAGUCCGGGCUUCACAGGGCAGGAUGCCGGAUAACAUCCGGUGGAGGCGACUCCAAGGACAGUGCAACAGAAAUGUACCGCGUUAGCAAUGAGCCAUGCGCAGACACGUUUUCAGCAGAUUUUUGAGUAAGCUGGCUUACAGAGAAAAUUUGAUGAGAAAAACAGGAUUCUGUGUAUCGCUCAUUGUUAACGUAAGGGUGGAAGGGCAGUGUAAGAGACUACCGCCCGGCUGGUAACAGCCGGGGCACAUGUAAACCCCAUCCGAAGCAAGACCGAAACAAAGCGUUGACGUGGCCCGCCAGCUUUAGGUAGGUCGCUUGAGGUAACUGGCAACAGUUAUCCUGGAUAGAUGAUCAUUCACGACAUAACCCGGCUUAUCGUUUUGCUUGAAUU